UGGGGAAUAUUGCACAAUGGGCGCAAGCCUGAUGCAGCAACGCCGCGUGAGGGACGAAGGCCUUCGGGUUGUAAACCUCUUUUAGCAGGGAAGAAGCGAAAGUGACGGUACCUGCAGAAAAAGCACCGGCUAACUACGUGCCAGCAGCCGCGGUAAUACGUAGGGUGCAAGCGUUGUCCGGAAUUAUUGGGCGUAAAGAGCUCGUAGGCGGUUUGUCGCGUCUGCUGUGAAAUCCCGAGGCUCAACCUCGGGUCUGCAGUGGGUACGGGCAGACUAGAGUGUGGUAGGGGAGAUUGGAACUCCUGGCGUAGCGGUGGAAUGCGCAGAUAUCAGGAAGAACACCAAUGGCGAAGGCAGAUCUCUGGGCCAUUACUGACGCUGAGGAGCGAAAGCGUGGGGAGCGAACAGG
This 409-nucleotide ribosomal RNA is filed under the name uncultured bacterium. Its description in RNAcentral is "bacterial SSU rRNA". It matches the Rfam family "Bacterial small subunit ribosomal RNA", at positions 355 to 776 of the family's 1533-position model. The record is from RNAcentral.